AUUGAACGCUGGCGGCAUGCCUUACACAUGCAAGUCGAACGGCAGCACGGGAGCAAUCCUGGUGGCGAGUGGCGAACGGGUGAGUAAUACAUCGGAACGUGCCCAGUAGUGGGGGAUAACCCGGCGAAAGCCGGACUAAUACCGCAUACGACCUACGGGUGAAAGCGGGGGAUCGCAAGACCUCGCGCUAUCGGAGCGGCCGAUGUCAGAUUAGCUAGUUGGUGGGGUAAAGGCCUACCAAGGCGACGAUCUGUAGCUGGUCUGAGAGGACGACCAGCCACACUGGGACUGAGACACGGCCCAGACUCCUGCGGGAGGCAGCAGUGGGGAAUUUUGGACAAUGGGCGCAAGCCUGAUCCAGCUAUGCCGCGUGCGGGAAGAAGGCCUUCGGGUUGUAAACCGCUUUUGUCAGGGAAGAAACGCUCCGGGCUAAUACCACGGAGUAAUGACGGUACCUGAAGAAUAAGCACCGGCUAACUACGUG
Molecule: ribosomal RNA, 484 nt
Filed under: uncultured bacterium
Lineage: Bacteria
Description: partial 16S ribosomal RNA
Rfam family: Bacterial small subunit ribosomal RNA
Source: RNAcentral